GGCAAAAUGAUACAUACAAACACGCCCUUGAGUCUGUAAUAAAUGAAUAAAUAAUUUAUUUUAAAAAAAAUGAAUAAAUUAAUAUUGUUCAGGCGGACGGUCGGCGGCGGCGAUGGAUGGAUUACCUGAUGUUCACUAUUAUAAUCAAGACUCAAUGGAGUUCCACAACAAAGAAAAAUGGAAGAGCACAGAAUACGGAUAUCCAGUGAAUGGCUUCAAGGUCUAUCCAAGGGUUCAAGUCACGAACUGGAGUUGUUCUCUCUCCAUGGCCUGAAAAUUGUGCAGGCGCAUCGGGGUUUUAUACGCUGUAAUUUCGUGGUCUCCAAUCGCAUAUCUGUUAGUUUUAUUUUUCUUUAACUUAAUUAAUCUUCUUCUUGUUUGUUCCGUUUGUGGAGGUUGUGAUGUUUGAUUUUUUACAUGAUUUAUAGGAUGGACAUGGGAAUUGGCAUGUGGGCGCUAUGGCUACUUUGAUUGAUGAUGUUGGUGCAGCUGCUAUAUUGUCUUUGACUGGCCACAUUAAAGGAUCACUUGAUUUCAACAUUUCUUUUUAUUUCCCAGCUAAGAUUCAAGUACACUUUCUUAUCUUCAACUCUUUUUCUAGGUUUUGGCUUUUUCUUCCCCAAUUAAUUUGGGAUUAUUUAGUUGUUGUUUGGGUUUUUCUUGGAUUUGUUAAUUUGUUGAGGAAAUUUAAUAUAUAGAACUCAUAAUUGUUUUGAAAUUAGACCUUUUUAAUGUAUAGAACUCAUAAUCAAGCUUAUUUUCAUCUGCUACAAAAGUAGCCUUGUACUGUGAAGCCAAAUGAUAGAUUAGAGCAAGCAAAAAUUAUGUAAUUCCUAUCAUUUCUUCCUUUUUUAGCAUUUUUUUUUCUUCUCAUGUUAAGAAAAUAUCCAGGAAGAAGUGGAGAUAGAGGCAAAGGUUGUAGGAGAGAAGGGAAGGCUAGUGUCAGUGGUGGUAGAAGUAAGGAAGAAGGAUAAUGGAGAAUUAAUUGCUUUAGCUAAGCAAUGGAUGUCCGUCCCCAGUAUUGCCAGUAAGAUUUGAGCUAAGACCAGUUAUACUUGAUAUUUUUUCAUGUUCUUUUAGAUUAUAGAGAAGAAAACCAAAUUCAGGCAUCAUGAUUUUGUAAUGCUCUGCAUUUCACAAAAUCAGCACACAAGAGGGAUCAUGGUUUUGUAAUAUAGUGAAGAGAAAAUCCCACUUCCAAUUUGUGGUUUGCUUCAAAUAUUUGCUCUUUAUGCUGUAAUCUUUUCGCUCUACCAUGGUCGUCUGUCAAAGGUU
RNAcentral lists this unclassified non-coding RNA (1275 nucleotides) under Hevea brasiliensis (rubber tree). The record is from RNAcentral. Lineage: Eukaryota; Viridiplantae; Streptophyta; Magnoliopsida; Malpighiales; Euphorbiaceae.